AUUGAACGCUAGCGGCAUGCCUUACACAUGCAAGUCGAGCGAGUGGCGGACGGGUGAGUAAUAUAUCGGUAUCUGCCCGGUAGCGGGGGAUAACUACUCGAAAGAGUGGCUAAUACCGCAUACUAUUAGAGCGGCCGAUAUGGGAUUCGCUAGUUGGUGGGGUAAAGGCUUACCUAGGCCACGAUCCGUAGCUGGUUUGAGAGGAGGACCAGCCACACUGGGACUGAGACACGGCCCAGACUCCUACGGGAGGCAGCAGUGGGGAAUUGUGCACAAUGGGCGAAAGCCUGAUGCAGCCAUCCCGCGUGUAUGAGAAGGCCUGCGGGUUGUAAAGUACUUUUAGUAGGGAGGCGUUAUCUACAGAAGAAGCACCGGCUAACUACGUGCCAGCAGCCGCGGUAAUUC
RNAcentral lists this ribosomal RNA (405 nucleotides) under uncultured bacterium. Its description in RNAcentral is "partial 16S ribosomal RNA". It matches the Rfam family "Bacterial small subunit ribosomal RNA", at positions 30 to 526 of the family's 1533-position model. The record is from RNAcentral.